UACGGAGGGGGCUAGCGUUGUCCGAAGUUACUGGGCGUAAAGCGCGCGUAGGCGGGUUGGUAAGUCCGCUGUGAAAGCCCGGAGCUUAACUCCGGAGGGUCGGUGGAUACUGCCAGUCUUGAAGGUGCUAGGGGGAGAUGGAAUUACCGGUGUAGCGGUGAAAUGCGUAGAUAUCGGUAGGAACACCAGUGGCGAAGGCGGUCUCCUGGGGCAUUCUUGACGCUGAGGCGCGAAAGCUAGGGGAGCAAACAGG
RNAcentral lists this ribosomal RNA (253 nucleotides) under uncultured bacterium. Its description in RNAcentral is "partial 16S ribosomal RNA". It matches the Rfam family "Bacterial small subunit ribosomal RNA", at positions 524 to 776 of the family's 1533-position model. The record is from RNAcentral.